GAGCAAGUGAUGAUUUAUAUUCAACGAAUCUGAUCAAUUUGUGAAGUCUACUAAAUUCGAGCUUUUUAAAACUGAUGCUCA
Cucumis sativus (cucumber) is the source of this 81-nucleotide non-coding RNA. NCBI's taxonomy places the organism in Eukaryota, Viridiplantae, Streptophyta, Magnoliopsida, Cucurbitales, Cucurbitaceae. The record is from Rfam.